Molecule: ribosomal RNA, 390 nt
Filed under: uncultured bacterium
Lineage: Bacteria
Description: bacterial SSU rRNA
Rfam family: Bacterial small subunit ribosomal RNA
Source: RNAcentral
UGGGGAAUCUUGGACAAUGGGGGCAACCCUGAUCCAGCCAUGCCGCGUGAGUGAUGAAGGCCUUAGGGUCGUAAAGCUCUUUCGCCUGUGAAGAUAAUGACGGUAGCAGGUAAAGAAACCCCGGCUAACUCCGUGCCAGCAGCCGCGGUAAUACGGAGGGGGUUAGCGUUGUUCGGAAUUACUGGGCGUAAAGCGCACGUAGGCGGACCAGAAAGUUGGGGGUGAAAUCCCGGGGGCUCAACCCCGGAACUGCCUCCAAAACUAUUGGUCUAGAGUUCGAGAGAGGUGAGUGGAAUUCCAAGUGUAGAGGUGAAAUUCGUAGAUAUCAGGAGGAACACCAGUGGCGAAGGCGGCUACCUGGACCAGUUCUGACGCUGAGGCGCGAAAGCG